RNAcentral lists this ribosomal RNA (503 nucleotides) under uncultured bacterium. RNAcentral describes it as "bacterial SSU rRNA". It matches the Rfam family "Bacterial small subunit ribosomal RNA", at positions 28 to 524 of the family's 1533-position model. The record is from RNAcentral.
GAUGAACGCUAGCGGCAGGCUUAAUACAUGCAAGUCGAGGGGCAACAGGGGUAGCAAUACCUGCUGGCGACCGGCAAACGGGUGCGGAACACGUACAGAACCUUCCUUUAAGCGGGGGAUAGCCCAUAGAAAUGUGGAUUAAUACCCCAUAGUAAUGUUUAAUGGCAUCAUUAGAUAUUUAAAGAUUUAUCACUUAAAGAUGGCUGUGCGGCUGAUUAGGUAGUUGGUCGGGGUAACGGCCCACCAAGCCAACGAUCAGUAACUGGUGUGAGAGCACGACCAGUCACACGGGCACUGAGACACGGGCCCGACUCCUACGGGAGGCAGCAGUAAGGAAUAUUGGUCAAUGGACGCAAGUCUGAACCAGCCAUGCCGCGUGAAGGAUGAAGGCCCUCUGGGUUGUAAACUUCUUUUAUCUGGGAAGAAAUGCAUGCUUUUUAGUCGUGUUUGACGGUACCAGAGGAAUAAGCACCGGCUAACUCCGUGCCAGCCGCCGCUGUAAG